RNAcentral lists this ribosomal RNA (120 nucleotides) under uncultured bacterium. Its description in RNAcentral is "partial 16S ribosomal RNA". It matches the Rfam family "Bacterial small subunit ribosomal RNA", at positions 28 to 139 of the family's 1533-position model. The record is from RNAcentral.
GACGAACGCUGGCGGCGUGCUUAACACAUGCAAGUCGAACGAGAUCCACCGCGUGGCAACACUCGGGAAGAUCUAGUGGCGAACGGGUGCGUAACACGUGAGAAACCCACCCCGAACUCU